RNAcentral lists this ribosomal RNA (442 nucleotides) under uncultured bacterium. Its description in RNAcentral is "partial 16S ribosomal RNA". It matches the Rfam family "Bacterial small subunit ribosomal RNA", at positions 338 to 795 of the family's 1533-position model. The record is from RNAcentral.
CCUACGGGUGGCAGCAGUGGGGAAUUUUGGACAAUGGGGGGAACCCUGAUCCAGCGACGCCGCGUGAGCGAAGAAGUAUUUCGGUAUGUAAAGCUCUAUCAGCAGGGAAGAAAAAAAUUACGGUACCUGACUAAGAAGCCCCGGCUAACUACUUGCCAGAAGCUGCGGUAAUACGUAGGGGGCAAGCGUUCUCCGGAUUUACUGGGUGUAAAGGGGGCGUAGGCGGCGAUGCAAGUCUGAAGUGAAAGGCGGGGGUCCAACCCCGGACUGCUUUGGAAACUGUAUGGCUUGAGUGCAGGAGAGGUAAGUGGAAUUCCUAGUGUAGCGGUGAAAUGCGUAGAUAUUAGGAGGAACACCAGUGGCGAAGGCGGCUUACUGGACUGUAACUGACGUUGAGGCUCGAAAGCGUGGGGAGCAAACAGGAUUAGAUACCCCUGUAGUC